Molecule: ribosomal RNA, 160 nt
Filed under: Calophyllum vexans
Lineage: Eukaryota; Viridiplantae; Streptophyta; Magnoliopsida; Malpighiales; Calophyllaceae
Description: 5.8S ribosomal RNA
Rfam family: 5.8S ribosomal RNA
About the family: 5.8S ribosomal RNA (5.8S rRNA) is a component of the large subunit of the eukaryotic ribosome. It is transcribed by RNA polymerase I as part of the 45S precursor that also contains 18S and 28S rRNA. Functionally, it is thought that 5.8S rRNA may be involved in ribosome translocation.
Source: RNAcentral
GACUCUCGGCAACGGAUAUCUCGGCUCUCGCAUCGAUGAAGAACGUAGCGAAAUGCGAUACCUGGUGUGAAUUGCAGAAUCCCGUGAACCAUCGAGUCUUUGAACGCAAGUUGCGCCCGAAGCCUUCUGGCCGAGGGCACGCCUGCCUGGGCGUCACGCA